RNAcentral lists this ribosomal RNA (238 nucleotides) under Mycobacterium shimoidei. Its description in RNAcentral is "partial 23S rRNA". It matches the Rfam family "Bacterial large subunit ribosomal RNA", at positions 559 to 772 of the family's 2925-position model. The record is from RNAcentral. Lineage: Bacteria; Bacillati; Actinomycetota; Actinomycetes; Mycobacteriales; Mycobacteriaceae.
UGUGCCUACAGUCCGUCAAAGCCUCCUCCUUUUUUUUGGGGUGAUGGCGUGCCUUUUGAAGAAUGAGCCUGCGAGUCAGCGACAUGUCGCGAGGUUAACCCGGGUGGGGUAGCCGCAGCGAAAGCGAGUCUGAAUAGGGCGUAUCCCCCAUUUUUGGGGGUGUAGUGGUGUGUUGUGGACCCGAAGCGGGGUGAUCUACCCAUGGCCAGGGUGAAGCGCGGGUAAGACCGCGUGGAGG